Punica granatum (pomegranate) is the source of this 1538-nucleotide non-coding RNA. NCBI's taxonomy places the organism in Eukaryota, Viridiplantae, Streptophyta, Magnoliopsida, Myrtales, Lythraceae. The record is from RefSeq and is a predicted model, not a curated record.
CGGCAUUUCAUUUUCCAAUUUCCCCCGCGGCAAAAAUCCUCAGCUCUUCACAGAGAGAGAAAAACGAAGAAAAGGAAGAACGCAAGGAAUUCCGAUCGAUUGCCGGAGAGCGAACGUUGAAUAGGCGACGGAUCCGUUUCGAUGGCGACGGUAAUUGACGGGCCGGGCGGCGGAGGGACUCUGUCGGAGCUCUACCAGAGCGCGAAGAGAGUUCUGCUCAGGGCCAGGGACGGGAUUGAGCGGCUCGAGAGGCUCGAGAGCUCCACGGCCGGCGGAGGAUUGGACUCGCCGGAGCUGUCGAACUCGAUCAAGAGGGAUAUCUCUCAGAUCCAGUCGCUAUGCAUCGAGAUGGACCGCCUCUGGCGCUCCAUCGCCGCCAAGUCCCAGCGCGAUCUCUGGAAGAGGAAGGUGGAACAGGUAGCUGAAGAGGCAGAGUCCUUGAGAGAAGGUCUUGAUAGGUACUUCUCAAGAAAUCAAAAGAGAAUGAUGGAAGCGAAAGAGAGGGCAGAGCUGCUUGGGAGAGCUAAUGGGGAGAAUGAUCAUGUUUUGAGGAUUUUCGACGACGAAGCUCAGGCAAUGCAGUCUGCUCGUAAUUCAUCCCGGAUGCUUGAAGAGUCUCUUCAAACUGGAGUAGCUAUACUCUCAAAAUAUUCUGAGCAAAGGGAACGUUUGAAGAAAGUACAACGCAAAGCACUGGACGUUCUCAACACGGUGGGGCUCUCCAACUCUGUGUUGAAGCUCAUCGAGAGGCGCCACCGGGUCGAUGUAUGGAUCAAAUAUGCAGGCAUGAUAGUGACAGUCAUCAUCUUGUUUGCCUUUUGGAGGUGGACGAGAUGAGUCGCAGUGACUUCAGAGGCCACAUUGAACAUCUCACUCUCCUUAAAUCGAUCUGAUGUGUAUGGUUCCCUGGUAGAGCAGUCAUCUGAAAUGUAGAUAAGCAACUUUUUGUGGCGAACAUCUGGUGGGGGAAAAAUCGAAUGCCAGGAGAUGUUGAGGAUGAUGGCUACCUCUAUACACAUGCGGUCUUAAAAUUUGUGCUGAAGUUGCAAAGACCAAUAUAUCAGUUGAUGGUGGAUUUGAACUCCUGAGCUCCUAGCACGGUCCUUGGUUCCGAAUACGAUAUCUGAAGAUAGUGAAGGAUGGAUUUUCCCGCUUUGUGGUGCCAACGACACGGUUUGAAGUCUGAACCAUGUGGUGAUGAGCAAUUGAUGUUUAUUAACGGCAUAUUUUGAGCCCACUGAGCUGCGAGAAGUAGUUUAGACUUCUGGAUGCCAUCUCUCAGAAGCGUUUCAUUAAAUAUACAUUCCGGGAAUGUCGUUGAAGUUCGCAAUUUGAGUUCUGCUGGUCUCCUCUCGUUCAAUAUCAUUGUUGAAGCUCACUUAUUGUUAGAUCAUGUUUAGAAGGUGAAUUUGAGACGGAUUAGAAUAAUAAUAAUGACAGUAAAUAGAGAAAUAGUGUACCCUUGCUUUGCAUUUGGAGAAAAUAUCAUACGAGACUAACACAUAUACUGUGGUGUUAAAGUCUCAAUUUAGUGUCUA